Molecule: ribosomal RNA, 440 nt
Filed under: uncultured bacterium
Lineage: Bacteria
Description: partial 16S ribosomal RNA
Rfam family: Bacterial small subunit ribosomal RNA
Source: RNAcentral
CCUACGUGAGGCUGCAGUGGGGGAUAUUGCACAAUGGGGGAAACCCUGAUGCAGCGACGCCGCGUGUGGGAAGACGGUCCUCUGGAUUGUAAACCACUGUCCCCAGGGACGAAGAUGACGGUACCUGGGGAUGCAGCUCCGGCUAACUACGUGCCAGCAGCCGCGGUAAUACGUAGGGAGCGAGCGUUGUCCGGAAUUACUGGGUGUAAAGGGAGCGUAGGCGGGACUGCAAGUUGGGUGUCAAAUCUACCGGCUCAACCGGUAGCCGCACUCAAAACUGCAGUUCUUGAGUGAAGUAGAGGCAGGCGGAAUGCCUAGUGUAGCGGUGAAAUGAGUAGAUAUUAGGAGGAACACCAGUGGCGAAGGCGGCCUGCUGGGCUUUUACUGACGCUGAGGCUCGAAAGUGUGGGGAGCAAACAGGAUUAGAUACCCGGGUAGUC